This 328-nucleotide RNase P RNA is filed under the name pig gut metagenome. Its description in RNAcentral is "Bacterial RNase P class B". It matches the Rfam family "Bacterial RNase P class B". Rfam says of the family: Ribonuclease P (RNase P) is a ubiquitous endoribonuclease, found in archaea, bacteria and eukarya as well as chloroplasts and mitochondria. Its best characterised activity is the generation of mature 5'-ends of tRNAs by cleaving the 5'-leader elements of precursor-tRNAs. The record is from RNAcentral.
CGGAUGACUGCAGGAAGUCUUGUGCUUCUUGAGGAAAGUCCAUGCUCGCGCCCCCUGAGAUGGGAGCAGUGUUUGCGCAAGGCCAAUCAAUAAGCCUUGGCUGGGAGGAGUCCCAGACGGCCAGGAAGAAUCUAAACUUCGGCAUGAUGUCUUCCUGUGAAAGCUCCACAGUGACGAAACUUCUGGAAACAGAAGGAGUGCAACGAUGGAAAGCCCCACAAGCGAGAAACCUAAAUUUUGGUAAGGGAAGUCCAACGCGGGAAUUCAACUGCAGCGGACAGGGUAACACCUAGAUAAAUUGUCAUCCUCGACAAAACAUGGCUUACAG